This 744-nucleotide ribosomal RNA is filed under the name uncultured bacterium. Its description in RNAcentral is "bacterial SSU rRNA". It matches the Rfam family "Bacterial small subunit ribosomal RNA", at positions 8 to 796 of the family's 1533-position model. The record is from RNAcentral.
AGAGUUUGAUCCUGGCUCAGAGCGAACGCUGGCGGCAGGCUUAACACAUGCAAGUCGAACGGGCGUAGCAAUACGUCAGUGGCAGACGGGUGAGUAACACGUGGGAACGUACCCUUCGGUUCGGAACAACCCAGGGAAACUUGGGCUAAUACCGGAUACGUCCGCAAGGAGAAAGAUUUAUCGCCGAAGGAUCGGCCCGCGUCUGAUUAGCUUGUUGGUGAGGUAAUGGCUCACCAAGGCGACGAUCAGUAGCUGGUCUGAGAGGAUGAUCAGCCACACUGGGACUGAGACACGGCCCAGACUCCUACGGGAGGCAGCAGUGGGGAAUAUUGGACAAUGGGCGAAAGCCUGAUCCAGCCAUGCCGCGUGAGUGAUGAAGGCCUUAGGGUUGUAAAGCUCUUUCGGCGGGGAAGAUAAUGACGGUACCCGCAGAAGAAGCCCCGGCUAACUUCGUGCCAGCAGCCGCGGUAAUACGAAGGGGGUUAGCGUUGCUCGGAAUCACUGGGCGUAAAGCGCACGUAGGCGGAUUGUUAAGUCAGGGGUGAAAUCCUGGAGCUCAACUCCAGAACUGCCUUUGAUACUGGCGAUCUUGAGUCCGGGAGAGGUGAGUGGAAUUGCGAGUGUAGAGGUGAAAUUCGUAGAUAUUCGCAAGAACACCAGUGGCGAAGGCGGCUCACUGGCCCGGUACUGACGCUGAGGUGCGAAAGCGUGGGGAGCAAACAGGAUUAGAUACCCUAGUAGUCC